GUGCCAAGCAGCCGCGGUAAUUCCAGCUCCAAUAGCGUAUAUAAAAGUUGUGCAGUUUAAAAAGCUCGUAGUUGAACCUUGGGUCUGGCUGGCCGGUCCGCCUCACCGCGUGUACUGGUCCGGCCGGACCUUUCCUUCUGAGGAGCCGCAUGCCCUUCACUGGGCGUGUCGGGGAACCAGGACUUUUACUUUGAAAAAAUUAGAGUGUUCAAAGCAGGCCUUUGCUCGAAUACAUUAGCAUGGAAUAAUAGAAUAGGACGUGCGGUUCUAUUUUGUUGGUUUCUAGGACCGCCGUAAUGAUUAAUAGGGAUAGUCGGGGGCAUCCGUAUUCAAUUGUCAGAGGUGAAAUUCUUGGAUUUAUUGAAGACGAACUACUGCGAAAGCAUUUGCCAAGGAUGUUUUCAUUAAUCAGUGAACGAAAGUUAGGGGAUCGAAGACGAUCAGAUACCGUCGUAGUCUUAACCAUAAACUAUGCCGACUCGGGAUCGGUGGGCGUUACUAUUUUGACUCCAUCGGCACCGUACGAGAAAUCAAAGUUUUUGGGUUCUGGGGGGAGUAUGGUCGCAAGGCUGAAACUUAAAGAAAUUGACGGAAGGGCACCACCAGGCGUGGAGCCUGCGGCUUAAUUUGACCCAACACGGGGAAACUCACCAGGUCCAGACACAAUAAGGAUUGACAGAUUGAGAGCUCUUUCUUGAUUUUGUGGGUGGUGGUGCAUGGCCGUUCUUAGUUGGUGGAGUGAUUUGUCUGCUUAAUUGCGAUAACGAACGAGACCUUAACCUGCUAAAUAGCCCGGCCCGCUUUGGCGGGUCGCCGGCUUCUUAGAGGGACUAUCGGCUCAAGCCGAUGGAAGUUUGAGGCAAUAACAGGUCUGUGAUGCCC
Molecule: ribosomal RNA, 882 nt
Filed under: uncultured Dothideomycetes
Lineage: Eukaryota; Fungi; Ascomycota; Dothideomycetes
Description: SSU rRNA
Rfam family: Eukaryotic small subunit ribosomal RNA
Source: RNAcentral